Molecule: long non-coding RNA, 501 nt
Organism: Oncorhynchus nerka (sockeye salmon)
Lineage: Eukaryota; Metazoa; Chordata; Actinopteri; Salmoniformes; Salmonidae
Exons: 2
Source: RefSeq, a predicted model, not a curated record
AUCAUUGCAAGAAGUCUAAAUAUCCUCUCUCCCACUACUUGUGCACCAACAAGAAAACAAAGGCUGACCAGCAGGUUCCACACUAAUUGGACAAUGAGAAACUGGACAUUACUAAGUCGGCUGCUGGAUGAAGUGCAGUCCCAACCUAUGGUCAUAGGGAAGACUUGCUCUCCGCUUUGUUCAUGUUGAGAAUUGUGGUGUUGGGGGCCGCAGCGGAUAGGGUGUGGGUGGAAGAACAAUCAGAGUUUGUCUGCGACACUAAGAUGACAGGAUGUCGACCGAGUGACGCAGCUCUCUAAGGCACUGCAUCUCAGUGCAAGAGGCGUCACUAAGGUCCCUGGUUUGAAUCCCGGCUGAAUCACAUCCGUCCGUGAUUGGGAGUCCCAUAGGGCGGUACACAAUUGGCCCAGCUACGUUCAGGUUUUGGCCGGGGUAGGCCGUCAUUGUAAAUAAGACUUUGUUCUAAAUGGACUUGCCUAGUUAAAUAAAGGUUAAAAAAGA